GAUUAAUCAAGAGGAAUGUAUUAACUGCGGACCAAGAUUCGGUGGAGAAAGCAACAAAAUUGAAGGCUCACAAAAACCUAGAGUCUGAGCCAAUCAAAGGUGGAUCAGAAGUCACAAUUCUUAUCUGAAAUCAUGCUGGUAUGUUCUAAAGAAGCUUUACCUAUUGUUAUAGGUGGCGACUUCAACAUUAUUCGAAGACCAGAUGAGAUAAGUAAAGGCAAUUAUAAUGAUAGAUGGUCUUUCAUGUUUAAUGUUGUGAUCAACUCUUUAAAUCUUAGGGAAAUAGAAAUGUCAAGACUUAGGCUAAUCAUCUACAGAAUCAAACUUUUGAAAACUUAGAUAAGAUCCUAGUAUGCACAGAUGUCGAGGCUAAAUAUCCAUACCAUAGUACGUGCUUUAAUUAGAGAAAUAUCUGAUCAUACACCUCUACUCUUUUCUACAAAUAACCCAUCCUCAUCUUAUCAACCCUAAUUCAAAUUUGAAUUGGGAUGGUUGCUGAGAGAUGGCUUUUGUGAGAUGGUUAGUGACAUAUGGAACAGUACACUAGUGCCAAGCUAAGAUGAUUAAAAGGCUUCGCCAAUACCUUAGAGGAUGGGCAAAGAGUGAGAGUCACUAGUGCAAAAAAAACUCAAUGGUGGCGGUUGUGUCUAUUGUACAGGCGGUUUCUGUUAUUGUGCGCCAGUGUAAAGAAAACAACCAGCCCGACUCAUAAACCGCUUGUGUAAACCACUUUCUACAGGCAGUUUUCUUAACAUAACCGCGAGUGGAAAUGCCUGAAUUUCACUGGCGGUUCAGUUAAGUGAACUGCCUGUGGAAAUUGAUUUACAUUGGCAGUCGACUUAGAUGAACCGCCAGUGGAAAUAAGUCAUUUACAUUGGCAGUUAUGUUAAGUCAACCGCUAGUGUAAAAGGAUCUCUACAGGUGUUUCUUUAAGUCAGCCACCAAUGAAAUCUCUAUUAUAAAUACCCCUUCUUUCUCCCUGAGCAGAGUUGUUUCUCGCAGCCACCUUCCAUAGGAGGCUAUUUUGGAGGUCUAGUUUUCACUAAAUAUAUGGGGAGAGAUUUUAAUCUUCAUUUCUUGGAAGGAGGUUGCUAAGAAAGUGCACGUGACCGAAAGAGCGACCGUUGAACCGAACCCCG
Long non-coding RNA from Sorghum bicolor (sorghum), 1139 nucleotides. RefSeq lists it as uncharacterized. Lineage: Eukaryota; Viridiplantae; Streptophyta; Magnoliopsida; Poales; Poaceae. The record is from RefSeq and is a predicted model, not a curated record. The transcript is spliced from 3 exons.